CGACGCUGGCGGGUGCUUAACACAUGCAAGUCGACUGAUGAACCACUUCGGUGCGGAUUAGUGGCGAACGGGUGAGUAACACGUGGGCAAUCUGCCCUUCACUCUGGGACAAGCCCUGGAAACGGGGUCUAAUACCGGAUACGACACUCUCGGGCAUCCGAUGAGUGUGGAAAGCUCCGGCGGUGAAGGAUGAGCCCGCGGCCUAUCAGCUUGUUGGUGAGGUAACGGCUCACCAAGGCGACGACGGGUAGCCGGCCUGAGAGGGCGACCGGCCACACUGGGACUGAGACACGGCCCAGACUCCUACGGGAGGCAGCAGUGGGGAAUAUUGCACAAUGGGCGAAAGCCUGAUGCAGCGACGCCGCGUGAGGGAUGACGGCCUUCGGGUUGUAAACCUCUUUCAGCAGGGAAGAAGCGAAAGUGACGGUACCUGCAGAAGAAGCGCCGGCUAACUACGUGCCAGCAGCCGCGGUAAUACGUACGGCGCGAGCGUUGUCCGGAAUUAUUGGGCGUAAAGAGCUCGUAGGCGGUCUGUCGCGUCGGAUGUGAAAGCCCGGGGCUUAACCCCGGGUCUGCAUUCGAUACGGGCACACUAGAGUGUGGUAGGGGAGAUCGGAAUUCCUGGUGUAGCGGUGAAAUGCGCAGAUAUCAGGAGGAACACCGGUGGCGAAGGCGGAUCUCUGGGCAUUAC
RNAcentral lists this ribosomal RNA (691 nucleotides) under Streptomyces scabiei. Its description in RNAcentral is "bacterial SSU rRNA". It matches the Rfam family "Bacterial small subunit ribosomal RNA", at positions 31 to 740 of the family's 1533-position model. Lineage: Bacteria; Bacillati; Actinomycetota; Actinomycetes; Kitasatosporales; Streptomycetaceae. The record is from RNAcentral.